This is a non-coding RNA of Mycena polygramma, 93 nucleotides long. The record is from the annotation of a GenBank genome assembly. NCBI's taxonomy places the organism in Eukaryota, Fungi, Basidiomycota, Agaricomycetes, Agaricales, Mycenaceae.
GGCCCGGUGGUGUAAUGGUUACACACCCUCUUCUCUUAACAAUUGCUUGGUAAAGUUAUGAGGGCGUUCCUUGUUCGAAUCAAGGUCGGGCCG